RNAcentral lists this ribosomal RNA (424 nucleotides) under uncultured bacterium. RNAcentral's name for it is "partial 16S ribosomal RNA". It matches the Rfam family "Bacterial small subunit ribosomal RNA", at positions 360 to 776 of the family's 1533-position model. The record is from RNAcentral.
AAUAUUUGACCAUGGGCGAAAGCCUGAUCCAGCCAUGCUGCGUGUGUGAGGAAGGUCUCCGGAUUGUAAAGCACUCUAAGUUGGGAGGCGGGGGUGGCGAUCGAUACUCUGCAAUUUGGACGAUACCGACAGAAUAAGCACCGGCUAACUUCGCGCCAGCAGCCGCGGUAAUCCGAAGGGUGCAAGCGUUAAUCGGAAUUACUGGGCGUAAAGCGCGAGUAGGUGGUUCGUUAAGUUGGAUGUAAAAGGCCAAGGCCCAAGCUGGGAACUGCAUCCAAAACUGGAGAGCUAGAGUACGGUAGAGGGUAGUGGAAUUGCCUGUGUAGCGGUGAAAUGCGUAGAUAUAAGAAGGAACACCAGUGGCGAAGGCGACCACCUGGACUGAUACUGAAACUGAGGUGCGAAAGCGUAGGGAGCAAACAGG